Molecule: ribosomal RNA, 274 nt
Filed under: uncultured bacterium
Lineage: Bacteria
Description: partial 16S ribosomal RNA
Rfam family: Bacterial small subunit ribosomal RNA
Source: RNAcentral
CUACGGAGGGUGCAAGCGUUAAUCGGAAUUACUGGGCGUAAAGGGCGCGUAGGCGGUCUAUCAAGUCAGGUGUGAAAUCCCACGGCUCAACCGUGGAGGUGCGUCUGAAACUGAUAGACUUGAGUAUGGGAGAGGAAAGUGGAAUUCCCGGUGUAGAGGUGAAAUUCGUAGAUAUCGGGAGGAACACCAGUGGCGAAGGUGACUUUCUGGACCAAUUCUGACGCUGAGGCGCGAAAGCGUGGGGAGCAAACAGGAUUAGAUACCCCAGUAGUCC